AUUUUUAAUUAAAAUCUUGUUUGAAUGGUUUAAUGAAAUAAAAACUUUUUUAUUUAAAAAUUUGAAUUUUAAUUUUUAGUUAAAAUGCUAAAAUAUUAUAAAGGGACGAGAAGACCCUAUAGAAUUUUAUAAAUAUUUAUAUUUUUAUUUAAUUAAAUUUAUUUAAAUUAUAAUUUUUAUUUUAUUGGGGUGAUAAUUAAAUUUAAUUAACUUUUUAUUUUUAAUCAUUUAUAUAUGUUUUUUUGAUCUUUUUUUAUUGAUUAUAAAAUUAAAUUACCUUAGGGAUAACAGCAUAAUUUUAUUAAAAAGGUUUUAUUUUUAAUAGUGUUUAU
Molecule: ribosomal RNA, 332 nt
Filed under: Oligotrophus panteli
Lineage: Eukaryota; Metazoa; Arthropoda; Insecta; Diptera; Cecidomyiidae
Description: partial 16S ribosomal RNA
Source: RNAcentral